AAUGAACGCUGGCGGCGCGCCUAAUACAUGCAAGUCGAGCGAGAAGACGUAGCAAUACGUUUGUAAAGCGGCGAACGGGUGAGGAAUACAUGGGUAACCUACCCUAGAGUGGGGAAUAACUAGCCGAAAGGUUAGCUAAUACCGCGUACGCUCCUUGGACUUCGGUUCAGGGAGGAAAGCGAUACCGAGGGUAUCGCGCUCUUGGAUGGGCUCAUGUCCUAUCAGCUUGUGGUGAGGUAACGGCUCACCAAGGCUUCGACGGGUAGCUGGUCUGAGAGGACGAUCAGCCACACUGGCACUGCGACACGGGCCAGACUCCUACGGGAGGCAGCAGUAAGGAAUAUUGCGCAAUGGGCGAAAGCCUGACGCAGCGACGCCGCGUGGGGGAGUG
RNAcentral lists this ribosomal RNA (391 nucleotides) under uncultured bacterium. RNAcentral's name for it is "bacterial SSU rRNA". It matches the Rfam family "Bacterial small subunit ribosomal RNA", at positions 29 to 411 of the family's 1533-position model. The record is from RNAcentral.